GAUGAACGCUGGCGGCGUGCCUAAUACAUGCAAGUCGAGCGAACGGACGAGAAGCUUGCUUCUCUGAUGUUAGCGGCGGACGGGUGAGUAACACGUGGAUAACCUACCUAUAAGACUGGGAUAACUUCGGGAAACCGGAGCUAAUACCGGAUAAUAUUUUGAACCGCAUGGUUCAAAAGUGAAAGACGGUCUUGCUGUCACUUAUAGAUGGAUCCUCGCUGCAUUAGCUAGUUGUUAAGGUAACGGCUUACCAAGGCAACGAUGCAUAGCCGACCUGAGAGGGUGGUCGCCCACACUGGAACUGAGGCACGGUCCAGACUCCUGCGAGAGGCAGCAGUAGGGAAUCUUACGCAAUGGGCGAAAGCCUGACGGAGCAACGCCGCGUGAGUGAUGAAGGUCUUCGGAUCGUAAAACUCUGUUAUUAGGGAAGAACAUAUGUGUAAGUAACUGUGCACAUCUUGACGGUACCUAAUCAGAAAGCCACGGCUAACUACGUG
This 497-nucleotide ribosomal RNA is filed under the name uncultured bacterium. RNAcentral describes it as "partial 16S ribosomal RNA". It matches the Rfam family "Bacterial small subunit ribosomal RNA", at positions 28 to 507 of the family's 1533-position model. The record is from RNAcentral.